RNAcentral lists this long non-coding RNA (6581 nucleotides) under Capsicum annuum. Its description in RNAcentral is "long non-coding RNA (CANN_LNC013943)". The record is from RNAcentral. Lineage: Eukaryota; Viridiplantae; Streptophyta; Magnoliopsida; Solanales; Solanaceae.
AACUAUAUAUCAUAAUUAAAAACUCAAAAAGCUUCCUAAAUUAUCAAACACCGCACAUUAUAGCGCAAAACAACAUACAAUCCAAGACGAUGAGCUAGUAACUUAUGCUAAGAGUACUAAUUUUAUCCUUUUGAUCUUUAACUUGGUGUUUUGUCUCUUGGAUUGUUUAAAUUGAACCUUAAACACUAUAAAAAAGUUAUUACACACAUAAUUAGUCAAAUACCUUAAUUAAACCAUUACACACACUAGAAUCCAUCGAGAUUAACUGGAACAAUACAUAGCUCAAGCAAGUAACACUAGUUUUCUCGUUUAAACUCUAAGUGGCCAAAUUGAUUCCAAACUUGUUUGAAACACACCUUAAACAUUAUAAUCACGUAGUUUGACACUUAGAUGUUAAAUUAUAUUAUUAACAACUCAUUACUCAUAUAAGAAGUCCUCAAAACAAAGCUAAUUAAAGUCGGAUAAUAAGUCUUAGGUGCAUAAACUCACCUAAGAUCAUCACCCCACACUUAAAGCCUUGUUAGUCCUCAAACAACUCUUUACUAUAAGAAUCGUAAUAAUAGAAGACUCCAUACUUCUAUUACAAGAAAGAUAUUCAAGCUAAUACUACAAUGACUACAUAGAGAGCAAGAUUUUACCUUAAACAUGUCUUGUACAAGUGAAAGCUCAAGAAUGCUACUUCAAAACAUCCUAACCUCAAGAAUUGACUCACCAAGUUGGCUAACUAAUGCAUAUUACUCAAUCAAAUAGAUCAUACAAAUCACAUACUACCAUUAAAAUAUUCCCUCAUAACAAGAGUUACCCAUACUUACUCACAAAGAUACAAUUAUUGCAAGAACGAGUAUAAGAAUCAAUUUAUGCUCACUCUCACAAAGAAUUCACAAGUUACACAUGAUGAACCAUAGGAUUUCCCUUAGUGUAGUACUCUACUAAUAUCAGAAUGUUAAGGCUUAGAAUCAAAUAAGUCUUUGAGGGCUGUAAUGUAGGCUCAGGGAUGGGUAGGAACUAUUCUGGCCAGUAAUAGUGACUAUCUUCCUUGAGAGCAGCAUCACAUUUGUCAUUCAAUUCACCUUUACCAACCAACAUUCCACCUCAUAUACCUUCGCACAGAUCUUUUUAUUUGCCUCAUCUCAUUAAGCUAGUUCACGUACAAUGCAGUGGGAGUAUUUUCCAUUCACAUCUUAUUCAAUUUUGAACACUUUUUUUUAUCUCAUAACUUCCAAUCACAACAAACCAAUUUACUACACCAAUAGCUACUUUUUGGGGUCUCACUUUCACCUCUUUUGUUCUUGUAUUUCACAUCCUUAACUCAGUAAGUUUUCACUAAAGCACUUAGGAGCUUUGGAUCAAUUUUAGGUCAAACAAAAAAUGGAAAUAGACUACAUAUGAGGCUACCAAAGAGUAGGCUAAAGGUCCAAUGGGGCUAACUAGAAUUAUAAACAAGGGUAGGUAUCAAAGGGUAUGAAACAUGGCUAUCAAAGAAAUACCUAUAUCAUCUUCUAAACCCACACUCUUUAUUUCACUUUGCACACACACCAGUCAAGUUCUAGGAAUCAAAUGCAACAAGAAAUACAAAAAACUUCAGUUCACACAUAGCACAUGCUCAACUCAAGUAGGAUCAUCAUAAACCCUCAACCAAACAAUAAAAUCAGUUAAAUACUAAUCCAAUAAUGUUUAAGAGUUAUAAACUAGAGCCUAGGAGUCUCAAAAGUAGUAAUUCACAGAAAGAACUUGCUUUUACUCACAAAACCCACUUGCAUCGUACAAUCAUGCACAACACAAACUAGAAUAUCUCACUUAUCCUAACACAAAAAUUUAAAAUUUACUCCUAAAAAUAAAAUAGAUACUAGGUUCAAAGGGCGCCCCCAUGUAAAAGAAUAAAACAAACCACCAGGUGGGUAAAGUGUGCACCUACUUAACUUACACCCACAAACUAAAAACUAAAAAGCAAAUUAUUUUUGUAAUUUUUUAAAAUUUUCAAAUUUAACCCAAAAAAACACUAAGACUACAACUAAAACUAAGACCCUACAAUAUCACUUCACCCAAAACCAUGGGAAUUUCCCCACCACACACCUAAAACUUACUUUGUCCCCAAAGUAAACUUAAAAGUAGAGAUCAAAAUACUCCUUGAGGCCUCUAGUCCUAGCUAGUUUUAUUUUUAACAUCAAGAGGGUCAGGGGACCCCAUACUUAGUCUCUGCCAUGCUUCUUAGCUCAGGUUUCUGAUACUCAGACUUCCCAUCAGCCUGUGAAUCAAUAAAAAAAACACUAUGUGAAUGAAAAAAUAAAAUAUUUUGAAAAUAAAAUACCUACCUUAAAUUGGGUUGCCUCCCAAGUAACACCUAAUUUAGUGUCGCGGCACGACCCAACAUCACUACUCAGCCGAAUUCCUUCAUCUUCUUCCUCAUACUUAGAGGCCAUCUUCUUUUUUGUUUUUGACCUCUAGAGUGUGUACUCUCCAGGUCAAUAGCUUUAUCUAUAAUAUCUUUUUUAGGCUUAUCGAUCAUCAUUACUUUAGGCUUAGGUGGUGGCUCGGACAACUCAAUGAGACUGUUCGAAGAGGUAUUUGGUAGUGCACUUGCUAUCACCCCACACUUAUCCACUUCUAUCACUGUAAUCAUACACAAAUACUUAUAGUAGUAAGGUAUAUUAAGUGGAACCUUUUUGUUAUCUAAUCACAUUGUGAGAGUGCCCUCUCUCACAUCUAUCAACACUUAUCUUAUGGCUAAGAAUAGACGUCCCAAAAUGAUUGGUACCCUAUUAUCUGCAUCAUAAUCCAAAAUAAUAAAAUCAGUAGGAAUUAUAAACUUUCCAAACCUUAUGAGGACGUCCUCAAUUAUUCCGUUGGGCUCCACUAUAGUCGUAUCCACCAAUUACAAUAUCAAAUAACAUCGUCUCGGCUUACCUAAUCCAACAGUAUUGAACAUAGACAAAUGAAUCAAAUUUAUACUUACCCCUAAAUCAAUCAAGGUGUGGACCACUUCACUAUCACUAAUUUGUAAGUGGAGGGUUAAACUCCCUGGGCCUUAAGCUUCUUGGGCAUUUUUUUAUUACCAUAGAUCUGCACUCCUCUAUCAAUGCCACCAUCUUAAUAUUCUAUAGAUUCACCUUGUUAGUCACCACAUCCUUGAUGUACUUGGUGUACUUGGGCAUUCCCCAUAAAAUAUCUAAAAGAGGUAAAUUAAUAUGGAGUUCUCUGAACGUGUCAAAGAACUUCUUGAAAUAGGCAUCCUCUAUGGCUUUCUUGAAUCUCUAUGGGAAUGGUGGUAGUGGUUUAUCAUUCACUUGCAUAAAAAUCUUUAUUUUCAGGUACUCAGAUUCCCUGAAUUAUUAACAACUUUUUCUGCAACCUAUUAUGGAACUAACUCUGCAUCUACCUCCUUAGCUUUCUUCAAAGGUGUGUCACUAAGAUACUUACUACUCCUCAAAGUGAUUGCCAUAACUUGCUUCUGAUCCUUAUUUUCACCUGGAAACCUACCUUGAGGCCUGGUAUUCUAUGCUUGCUGUAAUUUCCCUAACUGCUGCUCUUACUGCUUUUGAGCUACUUGCUUAUUUUUGAUUCACCAACCAUCUAUUCUUGGUUGGCCAAAUUCUUUUUUAGAGUCUCUUUACUCUUAAUGGACUGAGUAUUAUAUUGUUGCUGCUAAAAUUGCUAUUGUUGUUUGUUACCCCAAGGAUACUGUCACUUUUGGUUGUAGGGAUUUGUAUAAGUUGGCUUAUGUGCAUUGCCCACAAAAUUGAUGGAUACAGGAUUUACACCACACAAGUCUGUAGAGUGGCCACUAUUGCCAAAAAUCUCAUACCAACCUGGGGUCUGCUAUUCUGUAUUCAACUGAUCCAGAGUUUGAUUCACACCCAAUAGGUUGAUUUGGGUCAUCAUCUUAUUCUGCAUGGCUGACAAUUGAGUGGCUAAGGCAGUGAUACUAUCAACUUCAAUUAUGCCCGCAACAUUUUUCACUAAGCUUCUACACAUGUCACCAUGCCAGUUGGAAUUCCUUUGAGCAAUGCGAUUCAACAAAGUAUAAAACUCAUUAUAAGUUUUCUCCAUACCCUAACCACCUAUAGAUGAAUCUAGAAAAAUUUUGUGUAAAGUCAAGAUCUUCUACAAAUGUGAGCUAAUACCUCAUUAGACUACUGAUGAUAUGGACAAUCCCUAAGAAGAGACUUAAAUCUCUCCCAAGUAUGAUAUAGGUUCUCGCCUCAGCUUGAAGUUUAAAAUCUAGUGCAUAGUCUUGUGGUCUUGCAAGGUAGAAAAAAAUAAAUGAGGAACUUUUGGGCUAAGUCAUCCCAAGUUGUGAUUGAACCUGCCCGCUCAGCAUUCAACUAUUUUUUUCUUUCCCCAGAAGUGAAAAAGGGAAGAGUGUCAACCUUACAUAAUCAGUUGACACACCUGUCGGGAUAAAUGUGUCACUUAUUUCUAGUAAGUUUUGUUGGUUGACUUGUGGAUCUUUAUGUGAAAGCCCAGUAAACUGUCCACUGCUGUGCAAAAGUUGCACCAUGUUCUUCUUUAGUUCAAAUCUACCUCCAAUGGCUAGUCAAUGAAUACGGAGGUCAUAUUAGUCACAAGUAGGAUUGCCACAUCAUAAAUUAUCCUAUGGGCUGGUGGAUCCUCAGCCACUGGAGUAGGAAUAUCUUAUUCCUUAUGAAUUUAUGGGAUAUGGUAGAGAAGGGCUUCUUUUCUUCUUUAUUGGUGAAAGCAUUGCUUGGACUCGAGGUCUGAUUCAACCAACUCCCUAUCCCUAGCUAGCUUACUAGUUCUUUUAACAUGUGCCAGUAUGUGGUGACCUAAAAAUUUGAUAAAUUAUGUGUUUUUGCGUGAUUUGACUAUUUACCCCUUACCAUAGUUGCUUUUGGUAUUUUUGGGGUAUGAGGAUGAUUGACAUAAUUCUCGAUGUAUUUUGGUACCAUUUGUGCGAUAUUGUGAUUUUUGGAGGGUCUGAGAGCCUUAUUUUGGACUUCUGUGAUUAUCUUUUGAUUUGUGAGAUAGAUGACUGAAUAGACUAUGCCACCAGAUUCAGAACGUCAAUUUUAGGGUGGUAACAUAUUUGUUAUGAUUUUGUGGCUUUUAAAUAUUAUUUCAACCCUCGAUUGAAAAAUUAUGAUUUUGGAUUUUGGGGGUCAACUUUGUGAAAAUGAUACUUUUUAAAAUUUUGAUAUUUUCAUUGAGUUCGAAGCAUCGAAUUUAGUAUGGUUACAUAGUCCAUUUAUGUAUAUCAGACUCCAAACAAAUCUUGAAUGAAGUCCAUUUUGGGACUUAAAAAUCUGGUGUACCAGGUUGCGGGUGCAACCUGGAAAAUAAAGGGUAAAUCUCAUUUAGGGAGGCCGAUUUAUGCUUUUAAUGCCUUGUAACUGGGCUGAGUAUAAAUAGCCCAGUUUUCCUAAUUUUGCUCAUUCUUUCACCUCGCCUCUUGAGAGUUAAAUCCUAAAAUAGUGUGAGAGCUAAAAAGUGCAGCUUAUCGGUGCUUGGGAAGCUAGAUUAUCAUCGAUUUCUUGAUUCUCUUACGGAUUUAAGGUGAGAUUUCAUCCUUUUCUUACUUUAAUUCUUGAUUUAAUUAUUCAAAACCCUAAAAACCUUAUUACUUGAUUUAUCCCCAAAUUUCACUCCUUUUCACUUGCAUAAUGCUCCUAAUCUUAUAAUUACUAGUUUUCAUCAAUUUAACAUUCAAAAAAACUUUGAUUCCUGAUUUUAACAUGAAUUUUAAAGGUUUUACCCGAUAAAGCUCAAAAAUGGUUUUUCUUUAAUUUGGACCUCAUUUUAACUCGAUUUGACUUGGGUUUUCAGCUAUAGGUUUCUAAAAGUAUGGGGAACAUAUUUUUGAAGUAAAGUAAUACAUUUCAUUUUCUUUAUUGGGUUGAUGUUGUGAUUGAAUUUACGAUUGACUUGUUAUAUGUCUACUUGCUCUAGAUACUGUUACUUAUACUUGACCCUCCUGUAUAUGCAUGUUUUUCUCUAUAUAUACUUGCAUGUGAUAUAAUGUAUGGUUGUGUUAUACUUUUUAUAUUGUUGUUGUAUUUGUGAUAUAUAUAUUAGAACUGUUAGUGCAAGUGGUGUAGACUACCGUUAUGGGACAUUUUUUUGAUUGCAGGUGAUAUGUCCGUAGUGUGUCUUUUGUGUACCUUAUGUUUUGGUUUGCUUGGUCGGCCUAUGAUACCUAUUGAGUACAAGUGGACCGUACUCACUCCUACUAUAUCCUUCUAGUGCAGAUUCAAGUUUGAGUACACCCUACAUUGCUGUUUAACUCAGGCGAUUAUUGGAGCUUUCAAGGUAGUUGAUGAUUUUCAGGCAUCCGGAUGUCUACUGCUACCUUUCUUUAUAGACUAUGUCUUGAUUUCAUUUCAGAGAUAGAUUUUCUCUUGUAUUUAGAUAUCUUAUGUAUUUCCUUGGAUUCGAGUUGUACUAGAUAUAUUCUUAUACUGUUGACACCUAGUUUUGAGAGUUAUGGCUGCAUUGUUAUGUUCUUUUUACAUUAACUAUACUUGUAUGGUUCGACUUCAUUCUAGAAUCCUUACCUUAGGGUUAUGUCUAUCUUUUUACCUUUGUGUAUCAAUUUGUGUGAUAAGAUUACUUGUUAAGGUUUGCCG